AGAUAGAGAAUUGGGUUUUUUUUCUUCAUAGGGUUUUGGGAAGACUGAGGCAAUCGUUGUUGAAGUCAGUGUUGUAAUGGUGAAUCCGGAUUUUUAAUGAAGUGGGUUUGAUUACUCUUGACUGUUUUGUAAAAUCGAUUUACAUCUGUGAUGAAGAAUUAAAAGGGUGUCUAUAGGAUUGAGUAUGCGGAGUGAAUGAAAUUUAUCGGGUUAAUCUAACAAGACAGUCAGUGGAUACAAGAUCAUGAGUAUAAAGCGGUAUCGAAGAUUAGCAGUUUGGGUUGUUCGGGGUUCUCUGUAACGUCUAGAGACCUACCGGCUGGGACAAAAAGGACUUUGGCAAGUAGUCGAAGGGCAUCCGUAUAGAUUUACGGUAUAUUCUUGUAGUCGUUUAUAUUCCAACAGUCAAAAACCGAUAGACUGCUUGAAUAUUGGCGAAUCUCCAUACUACCUUCUACAGCCAGACGUCCGGUGCGUUCUCAAGCAGAAAAGCACGUAAUACGACAAAAGUGGUGAAUCCGACAUGAAAGCUUGAGGUGGAAGGUAUUGGAUUUCGUUUGAUUUUAUUUUUAUUUUAUGAAAAACGAAAAUAAAAAUUUUGAAGGAUUUUUUGGAGGAGCUUCUGGUGGGGGUUCUCCUAAAGGGCAAGGUAUGCACAUGGAUCCGUCUAUUGCUAGUAUGUUUCAAGCCUUCUCAUUAUCAAUGCAGCAACAGCAAAGCAAUGAUCGAAAAGGAAGCUUUGGCAACUAAAGCACUGUAAGCAGUGGUCAAUAAAAUUGAUCAAUUUGAUGGAAGAAAUAUUUCAAGGUAUUUAAGAUGUUAUGUUCGUGAAAUGGAAUUAAAUCGGGUUUCUGAGAAGAAAAUGGUUGAAUUAUUUGGACUUGCCAUGAUACCGGAGAUAAGGGACCAUAUUACAUCGAUUACGGAUCGUUAUGGGAAUUCAUGGGAGAUUUUUUUACAUGCAUUGAAAGACGAAUAUUUCUUGGAAGAUGCUGAUCGCGUUACUAAGAAGUUGUUUCUGGAAUGGAUUGAACGGCCUAAUAAGAAUUUGGAAGCAACAAAGCUACUAAGGGAAUUUGAGAGGCAAUACUCUUAAUUGUCGAAGGUAGAAAAAUUGACAUUGGAGCCGAACAAAGUUGAUCUAUUUCUUCAAGCUGUUGAUGGAGAAUUGCAAGGGAAAUUGGAACUCCUUCUUGAAGACAAAGAAGAAGAUGAAGGAUUGACAACAAAGUGGAAGAACGUUGAAGAUGCGGUGGGGUUGCUUGCAAAAAGAGAAAGGAGGAAGGAUAGGAGCAAUAUUCCAAAAACAAUACAAGCACCCAAAGCUCCAGUACGUACAACACCACCAACAAUGCCUACAGUUCAAUCUUCGACAUCCUUCUCAAAGAAAGCAGAUAUGAGGAUGAAAGAAAUUAUACGAAGAAUGCGAGAUCUUCAAAUCGAAUUGACAAGACUUGAACAGAAUACUUCUACAAACAAUUUGAAGAAUGUUUCAAAACAAGGAUAUGUACAAAGAUGCAUUUGGUGUGAUGACGCUUCACACACUAGGAAAGAUUGCAAUGAAUUUAAUAAUAUGAUACGACAAGGAAUUAUUUAUUGGAAAGAUGGGAAGAUAGCAUUAAAAGAUAGGGAGGAUCUUCUUCAAACCAAUUUUGGCAAGGGAGGAAUGAGAGCAUUGGUUCAAGAUUACUUAAAAGAGCAUGAAACAGCAACACGAGAAAGUGCAAGUUAUGGUGCUAGAGUAGAUGAUGACCUUGGUGGAAGAAUGGAAACUAGUGAGUUUUGGGCUUCUGCCGUUUCUACAAUGCAAGAAGGGAAAUUACCUUGAGAAGCGUUAUUGAGGACUGCAGCUACAAUAUGAGGUGCAACAGGUUGGAAGGAUCUUGUUGAGUCUCUUUCAGUUCAUGCAUAUAUUGCUAAGAGCCAACAUAAAGCUUUGAUGGAAGAAAAGAGACGAGGAAAUUUUGAUGAUACGAGAGAAGGAAAUUCUUCUAAGAGGCAAACUCGAGGAGACAAGGCUCGGGAGGUAGCUUCACAAGAAUUGCCUGUAAAGGAUACUUGAGCAUCAUUGGAAGAAAAAAUAAAGGAGACAAAAGAUAAGGGCAAAUCAAUUGCUUAUAAGCUACUUUCUGACAUUGAAGCGGCAACAAAUUUGAAAGGGGUGUUGGAAGAACGUAUAUUAAAUGCUAAGGUGGAAUUCACAUUGAAAGAAGUUUUGGAAAUUAUAAAGAAGGAGUUUCAUGAUGUUAUUAUUGACAGCAUUAAGCAAAAGAGGCAAUUAAUGGGCAAAACUAGAAUGAGUCAUGCUAUUGAUGCAAGAAUAUAUAAAGAUGAAGAAGAGGUUGAUAUUGGUUACAAGCAACCAACAAAUGAAAAGAAUGGGUAUAACCAACGAGUACGCUUCGAAGAUUAUAGUGAUAAGGAAAUGGAAGCUUUGAGCCAUUAUACUCGAAAGCAUUGGGCAAGGGCAACUACUGAGGUAUUGUUGAAAGUAAGAGAUAUAGAAGAACCAAUAGUUGCUUUAGUCGACCAUGGUUCUGAAAUAAAUCUCAUGUCUAAAGAUCUUUAUAAGAAGCAAAAAUGGCCAAUUGAUAUGGAACAUGGAUAGGCAAUUCGAGCAGCUAAUAACACACGGGGCGAAUUAUAUGGAGCUUGUCCAGAUGUCAAAAUUCGGAUUGGGGAUGUUGCGACGGAGCAACAUUUCUUUGUUCAAGAUAUGUCUUAUCUGUUGAUUUUAGGACAACCUUAUAUUAUGGCAACACGGAUGGAAACAAAAGUACUUGACGAUGGUUUUGCUUAUGCAAGGAUACGUAGCGAAGAUGGGAGGAAAGCUGUAUAAUUUCUAACAGUACCUCCUAACCAUGAACGGAAUCGAGAUGGGUUGAGGGAAAAACCAUUGCCAAAGAUUGUUAAAAGAUUUAAGGAUUUUGGAGAGGUACCACUGUAAAGCGAGAUUAUGGAGGUAUAAAAGAGGAGGUACUCUCGUAAGAUGAAGGUGCCUUUGAUACGAGUUUUAUUGGUAUAUUGAAAAAUAGAAAUAUUAUGUAUAAGAAAAUUGAUGAUUUUAAAAGAAAAGAAAGAAAAAGAUUAUAUAAUAUUGAAAGAAAAUUACGCAAAUUAGGUACAUUGCAAGAUGAUGAGAGGAUUUUAGUUGUUUAUGAAGAAAAUGGACUGAAAGAUUCAUUGGAAUUGAUUACAUCUAUUGGAUUAGGGGAUAAUGAUAAGAUUAUUGAGAUUCAUUCAAGAGAGGUUUAUACCAUACUUGAAUCUUUUCAAGCACCAGAAGUCACUGUAGAGACGAGAUAUAAAACGACAGAUAAGAAGGUAAAGCCUGUUGCCGGACUAUUGCCAGAAGAUUCUAAAGAACAAAUGGGAGAAGCAUGAAAAGAAGGAAGUUUAAGAGAUCCAAUGAGUAUUGGACAUCAGUUUACUAAAGAGACUUUUGAAGAAUUGAAGAUUGGUUCUGAUGGUUCUUUAUUGCCGGAGAAAAUUACUUGCUUCAAAAAGAUGUUGGCUAAACAAGGUAGAUCGUUUGCUUUCGAAUCUCAUGAAAUUGGGUGUGUGGAUCCAAAUAUUAUAACACCUAUGGUUAUCUUCACUGUACCGCAUGUACCUUGGAAUCUAAGAUAGAUUCCAGUACCGAGGGUACAUUUACCUAAAUUGGUGGAACUAUUAAAAGAAAAGAUAAAGAUGAAAAUAUUGGAACCCUCGUUUGCGCCGUAUUCUAGUCGAUGGUUUACGGUACCUAAGAAGAAUGGAUCACAACGGUUCAUUCAAGAUAUGCAACUGGUGAAUGCAAUAACUGUCAGGAAUGCAAGAAUUGGACCUAUUAUGGAUGAAUUUGCUGAGGCGUUUGCUGGAAGGGCGAUCUAUUCAAUGGGUGACUUGUAUUCAGAUUAUGAUCAAUUUCAACUUGCCGAAGGAAGUAGAGAUAUGACAACAAUGAGGACACGACUUGGAUUGGUUAGAAUGUGCACUCUUUCUCAAGGCGCGACCAACUCAGUUGCCCAUAUGAUGAAUGGGAUGAAUAAGGUAUUGAGAGAUUUUAUUCCGGAAAAGACUAUGCCUUUUCUGGAUGAUGUUCCUAUAAAAGGGUGCAGAGAAGGAGACAAGGAUGAAACUUUAGAUAAGAAAGGAUGUCGCAAAUAUGUUGUUGAUCAUAUACAAGAUUGUGAAAAGUUUUUAACUCAACUUGGAGAAGUUCAUCUUACAUUAUCGGAUAUAAAGUCCGUAUUUGGAGUACGAGAGGUUGUGAUUGUUGGACAUUUAUGUAGAUCUUACGGAAGAAAACCAGAUCCGGUUAAAGUUGAUGCAAUUUGAAGGAUGAAAGAGGAUUGUGAUUCUUUAACAGAGGUUCACAGGUUUUUGGAUGCAUGUGUAUUUUAUCAAAUCUGGAUCCCUCAUUAUGCUUACAUAGCGGAUCCAUUAUAUGAACUGUUACGGAAGGAUUACCGAUUUAAAUGGGAAAAAAGGCAUAUUUAGGCAAUGCAAAGAUUGAAGAAAUUAUUGAUGUCACCUCCAAUAUUAAAGAAGGUUGAUUAUAAGUGCAAUAGACCAGUGAUUCUUACUGUGGACGCUAGUCGAAUUGCCAUUGGAUGGGCUGUGGGUCAAGAUGAUUCCAAUGGGAAUAGAUUUGCAGUUUGAUUUGGAGCUAAAAUUUUAAGUAUUCGUCAGCCUGCAUAUUCGCAAGUCAAAAGAGAACUUUGGGAAGUUAUUUCGGCUAUGAAAGCUGAAAAAGACUAUUUGAUUGGGGCAGUAGUAGUAAUUGAAACAGAUUGCUUGCCAUUGCUUGGAAUGAUUAUUAACUGUUCAACGCCAGAUAUUGCAAUGUUGAGAUGGAUUGCUUAUAUUAAGUCACUAAAUCCGGAAUUUAAGCAUGUUACUGGGAAGGACAAUUUAGUAGCAGACAUGCUAUCUCGAGCAAGAUACGAGAGGGAGGACGAAAUGGUUGAAGACAUUGAUGACGUCGGAUUGAAAUUCUAUUCAAUAUCAAAUCUCAAUAGAGAAGACAAGCUAUUUUUUGAAGAAUCUUAUGAAGGAGAAUUAUUGAAUAUUGGUCAUUAUUUGAAUACCUUGACUAAGCUGGGGAAUUGGUCUACAGAAAAAUUCAAAUAAAUAAGAAAAAAAGCAUAUGGAUUUUUACUUCGAGAUAGAUUCUUAUGGAAGAGACCGAAGAAAGGAAUUGGGAUGCCACAACGAGUGAUAGGCAAAAAAGAAGAAAAACUAAAAUUAUUAAAGGAGUUUCAUGAUAGUUUAUGGGCAGGGCAUAGAGGAAUCUGGGCUAUUUUUAUUAAACUCAAGGAACGAUAUUGGUGGAAAAAUAUGUAUCGAGAUGUGCUCUCAUUUGUAGAGUCAUGUGAAAUCUGUCAAUCGUAUUCUAAUAUCCGACAUCGAGAUGGUCUUCAUCCUACGUAUCCUCUGGCUAUUCAUUUUAAAUGGGUUGUUGAUUUGGUUAUUAUGCCAGUUGGGUUAUGGCAGAUGAGAUAUUUGAUUUUAGCUCGUGAAGAUUUAUCAAAUCAAGUAGAAGGAAGAGCAUUGAGGACAAAAUCUACAGAGGGGAUUUGUAGAUUUUUGCUUGAAGAUGUCAUUUGCCGCUACGGAUGCAUAGGAAAAAUCACUGCAGAUCGUAGAGAAUUAAAUGCACAAGAAGCUCGUAAGUUCUUUGAAAGAUGUGGAGUUAAACUAUCACUGACUACUGCUUAUAAUCCGGAAGGGAAUGCAAAAAGCGAACGCGGUCACCCACCGAUUGUGAAAGCAUUAGUUAAAGCUUGUAAUGGGAAAGUUAGAGAGUGGCCACGGCUUUUGUCAUUUGCAUUAUGGGCUGAUCGAACAACACAUAGUUCGGUGACAAGAUAUAUGCCAGUAGAACUUAUGACAGGUCAAAAACCAAUUAUGUCGAUUGAAGAAAAGGUACUUACUUGGAGUAUGCUACCAUGGGAAGAUGGAUUGACAAGAGAAGAACUUCUAGCUAUUAAGAUUCGACAAUUGGAGCAAAGAUCGGAAGAUGAGCAGAUGGCAUUGGAAAGGUUAAAAAGAGCAAGGUUACAAAACAAGGCGCGACUCGAUAAGCAACAUCGAUUGAGACCUAAAGCAAUCGAGGAAGGUGACUAGGUACUUGUUUAUGACAAUAGUCUAGAUAAUCAACAUAGUACUUUGCGGAAAUUUUCAAAACGUUGGUUUGGACCAUAUGUAGUAACAACUGUUCAUAAUAAUGCGACUUACUCAUUACGAGAGUUAGAUGGUACAAAAUUGAAAAUACCAAUUGCAGGGAAGCAAGUAAAAAUAUUUAAACGAAGACAUGCGGAGAUGAAUAUGGAAGACCUUAAUGAAGGUAUAGAGAUUCCGCAGUGAGAAGAUGAAAGUGAUUAGGAUAAUGAAGGUGACGAAGACGAACUGGACAAAGACGUAGAAGAUAUAUUCUAAAUCAAACAGCAGUUGGGUAAAUUGGUGCAUAUCGGAGGAUGCACAGGUUCAGCGGGAGUGGAUGUCGUGUUGUAAUACGAGUAUACCGUGAAAAUAUAAAGUAAGGGGACUUUUAUUAAUAUUCAGUUAUCUCGAAUAUUGGGAGCAACGACCAAUUUCAGUGCAAAUACUGAGAGGCCAGGUUCAGUCACCCCGUUACAGUCAGCCAGGGCAUACUGAAAUGCUCCAUUCGAUUCCAAUAACGGGAGUCAGCAGAACGAAAAAGAACCAAUUCAAUGACAGGUGAACCUGGUUCGAAGAGCCAAUUGGAUCCAAUUUCAAGACAUCCAAUCCGGGUCCUCUUACCUAAUAUGAGACCUGACUUUGUUAGACAACCCAAUGCGGACCAAUUUCAGGAACAUCCAGGUUACUACGGGCCUCUUAUCCAAUAUGAGACCUGAAUUGUGAGACCUGAAUUGGUCGGACGACUCAAUGUGGUCCCGAUUACGGGAUUUUGAUUCUGUUUCAGGCUGUCUUGUUCUCUGUGUCGUUUGAGGGAACGUUGUUUUCGGUAAAAAGAUCUCUUAAAGGUAAAAAUGGAAGAGAAAGCUUUGACAGCAAGAGCCAAUUUCAGAUCCAAGCUCUGACGGCGGGAGCCAAUUUCGGAUCCAAGACGAAAGAUUGAAGAAAUUCAGAAUUAAGGUUAAGAAAUGAGGGGAGAAAAGUUUUGGAGGGGUUUUUUUUUUUUUUGAAGGAUCAGAGAGCUAGCUUCAUGCUUCGGGAAGGAGAAAAAAGAUAGAGAAUUGGGUUUUUUUUCUUCAUAGGGUUUUGGGAAGACUGAGGCAAUCGUUGUUGAAGUCAGUGUUGUAAUGGUGAAUCCGGAUUUUUAAUGAAGUGGAUUUGAUUACUCUUGACUGUUUUGUAAAAUCGAUUUACAUCUGUGAUGAAGAAUUAAAAGGGUGUCUAUAGGAUUGAGUAUGCGGAGUGAAUGAAAUUUAUCGGGUUAAUCUAACAAGACAGUCAGUGGAUACAAGAUCGUGAGUAUAAAGCGGUAUCGAAGAUUAGCAGUUUGGAUUGUUCGAGGUUCUCUGUAACGUCUAGAGACCUACCGGCUGGGACAAAAAGGACUUUGGCAAGCAAUCGAAGGGCAUCCGAUUAGAUUUACGGUGUAUUCUUGUAGUCAUUUAUAUUCCAACAGUCAAAAACCAAUAGAUUACUUGAAUAUUGG
RNAcentral lists this long non-coding RNA (7630 nucleotides) under Physcomitrium patens. RNAcentral describes it as "long non-coding RNA (PPAT_LNC001156)". Lineage: Eukaryota; Viridiplantae; Streptophyta; Bryopsida; Funariales; Funariaceae. The record is from RNAcentral.